AACUGAAACAUCUAAGUACCCCGAGGAAAAGAAAUCAACCGAGAUUCCCCCAGUAGCGGCGAGCGAACGGGGAGCAGCCCAGAGCCUGAAUCAGUGUGUGUGUUAGUGGAAGCGUCUGGAAAGGCGCGCGAUACAGGGUGACAGCCCCGUACACAAAAAUGCACAUGCUGUGAGCUCGAUGAGUAGGGCGGGACACGUGGUAUCCUGUCUGAAUAUGGGGGGACCAUCCUCCAAGGCUAAAUACUCCUGACUGACCGAUAGUGAACCAGUACCGUGAGGGAAAGGCGAAAAGAACCCCGGCGAGGGGAGUGAAAAAGAACCUGAAACCGUGUACGUACAAGCAGUGGGAGCACGCUUAGGCGUGUGACUGCGUACCUUUUGUAUAAUGGGUCAGCGACUUAUAUUCUGUAGCAAGGUUAACCGAAUAGGGGAGCCGAAGGGAAACCGAGUCUUAACUGGGCGUUAAGUUGCAGGGUAUAGACCCGAAACCCGGUGAUCUAGCCAUGGGCAGGUUGAAGGUUGGGUAACACUAACUGGAGGACCGAACCGACUAAUGUUGAAAAAUUAGCGGAUGACUUGUGGCUGGGGGUGAAAGGCCAAUCAAACCGGGAGAUAGCUGGUUCUCCCCGAAAGCUAUUUAGGUAGCGCCUCGUGAAUUCAUCUCCGGGGGUAGAGCACUGUUUCGGCAAGGGGGUCAUCCCGACUUACCAACCCGAUGCAAACUGCGAAUACCGGAGAAUGUUAUCACGGGAGACACACGGCGGGUGCUAACGUCCGUCGUGAAGAGGGAAACAACCCAGACCGCCAGCUAAGGUCCCAAAGUCAUGGUUAAGUGGGAAACGAUGUGGGAAGGCCCAGACAGCCAGGAUGUUGGCUUAGAAGCAGCCAUCAUUUAAAGAAAGCGUAAUAGCUCACUGGUCGAGUCGGCCUGCGCGGAAGAUGUAACGGGGCUAAACCAUGCACCGAAGCUGCGGCAGCGACGCUUAUGCGUUGUUGGGUAGGGGAGCGUUCUGUAAGCCUGUGAAGGUGUACUGUGAGGUAUGCUGGAGGUAUCAGAAGUGCGAAUGCUGACAUAAGUAACGAUAAAGCGGGUGAAAAGCCCGCUCGCCGGAAGACCAAGGGUUCCUGUCCAACGUUAAUCGGGGCAGGGUGAGUCGACCCCUAAGGCGAGGCCGAAAGGCGUAGUCGAUGGGAAACAGGUUAAUAUUCCUGUACUUGGUGUUACUGCGAAGGGGGGACGGAGAAGGCUAUGUUGGCCGGGCGACGGUUGUCCCGGUUUAAGCGUGUAGGCUGGUUUUCCAGGCAAAUCCGGAAAAUCAAGGCUGAGGCGUGAUGACGAGGCACUACGGUGCUGAAGCAACAAAUGCCCUGCUUCCAGGAAAAGCCUCUAAGCAUCAGGUAACAUCAAAUCGUACCCCAAACCGACACAGGUGGUCAGGUAGAGAAUACCAAGGCGCUUGAGAGAACUCGGGUGAAGGAACUAGGCAAAAUGGUGCCGUAACUUCGGGAGAAGGCACGCUGAUAUGUAGGUGAAGUCCCUCGCGGAUGGAGCUGAAAUCAGUCGAAGAUACCAGCUGGCUGCAACUGUUUAUUAAAAACACAGCACUGUGCAAACACGAAAGUGGACGUAUACGGUGUGACGCCUGCCCGGUGCCGGAAGGUUAAUUGAUGGGGUUAGCGCAAGCGAAGCUCUUGAUCGAAGCCCCGGUAAACGGCGGCCGUAACUAUAACGGUCCUAAGGUAGCGAAAUUCCUUGUCGGGUAAGUUCCGACCUGCACGAAUGGCGUAAUGAUGGCCAGGCUGUCUCCACCCGAGACUCAGUGAAAUUGAACUCGCUGUGAAGAUGCAGUGUACCCGCGGCAAGACGGAAAGACCCCGUGAACCUUUACUAUAGCUUGACACUGAACAUUGAGCCUUGAUGUGUAGGAUAGGUGGGAGGCUUUGAAGUGUGGACGCCAGUCUGCAUGGAGCCGACCUUGAAAUACCACCCUUUAAUGUUUGAUGUUCUAACGUGGACCCGUAAUCCGGGUUGCGGACAGUGUCUGGUGGGUAGUUUGACUGGGGCGGUCUCCUCCUAAAGAGUAACGGAGGAGCACGAAGGUUGGCUAAUCCUGGUCGGACAUCAGGAGGUUAGUGCAAUGGCAUAAGCCAGCUUGACUGCGAGCGUGACGGCGCGAGCAGGUGCGAAAGCAGGUCAUAGUGAUCCGGUGGUUCUGAAUGGAAGGGCCAUCGCUCAACGGAUAAAAGGUACUCCGGGGAUAACAGGCUGAUACCGCCCAAGAGUUCAUAUCGACGGCGGUGUUUGGCACCUCGAUGUCGGCUCAUCACAUCCUGGGGCUGAAGUAGGUCCCAAGGGUAUGGCUGUUCGCCAUUUAAAGUGGUACGCGAGCUGGGUUUAGAACGUCGUGAGACAGUUCGGUCCCUA
Molecule: ribosomal RNA, 2425 nt
Filed under: Escherichia coli
Lineage: Bacteria; Pseudomonadati; Pseudomonadota; Gammaproteobacteria; Enterobacterales; Enterobacteriaceae
Description: partial 23S ribosomal RNA
Rfam family: Bacterial large subunit ribosomal RNA
Source: RNAcentral